This 509-nucleotide ribosomal RNA is filed under the name uncultured bacterium. Its description in RNAcentral is "bacterial SSU rRNA". It matches the Rfam family "Bacterial small subunit ribosomal RNA", at positions 28 to 504 of the family's 1533-position model. The record is from RNAcentral.
GACGAACGCUGGCGGCGUGCCUAAUACAUGCAAGUCGAACGCAAUCUUUUAACAAUGAGUGCUUGCACUCAGCGUUUUAAGUGCGAGUGGCGAACGGGUGAGUAACACGUGGGCAAUCUGCCCAAAAGUGGGGGAUAACACUUGGAAACAGGUGCUAAUACCGCAUCAACCGGCUGACCGCAUGGUCGGCCGGGCAAAGACGGCGUCAGCUGUCGCUUUUGGAUGAGCCCGCGGCGUAUUAACUAGUUGGUAAGGUAACGGCUUACCAAGGUGAUGAUACGUAGCCGAACUGAGAGGUUGAUCGGCCACAUUGGGACUGAGACACGGCCCAAACUCCUACGGGAGGCAGCAGUAGGGAAUCUUCCACAAUGGACGCAAGUCUGAUGGAGCAACGCCGCGUGUAUGAAGAAGGUCUUCGGAUCGUAAAAUACUGUUGUCAGAGAAGAACACGUGAUAGAGUAACUACUAUGGCGCUGACGGUAUCUGGCCAGCAAGUCACGGCUAACUAC